AACGAACGCUGGCGGCAUGCCUAACACAUGCAAGUCGAACGAGACCUUCGGGUCUAGUGGCGCACGGGUGCGUAACGCGUGGGAACCUGCCCUUAGGUUCGGAAUAACUCCCCGAAAGGGGUGCUAAUACCGGAUAAUGUCUUCGGACCAAAGAUUUAUCGCCUUUGGAUGGGCCCGCGUUGGAUUAGCUAGUUGGUAGGGUAAAAGCCUACCAAGGCGACGAUCCAUAGCUGGUCUGAGAGGAUGAUCAGCCACACUGGGAAUGAGACACGGCCCAGACUCCUACGGAAGGCAGCAGUGGGGAAUAUUGGACGAUGGGCGAAAGCCUGAUACAGCAAUGCCGCGUGAGUGAUGAAGGCCUUAGGGUUGUAAAGCUCUUUUACCCGGGAUGAUAAUGACAGUACCGGGAGAAUAAGCACCGGCUAACUCCGUG
Molecule: ribosomal RNA, 433 nt
Filed under: uncultured bacterium
Lineage: Bacteria
Description: partial 16S ribosomal RNA
Rfam family: Bacterial small subunit ribosomal RNA
Source: RNAcentral